This is a long non-coding RNA of Cavia porcellus (domestic guinea pig), 1975 nucleotides long. Lineage: Eukaryota; Metazoa; Chordata; Mammalia; Rodentia; Caviidae. The record is from Ensembl.
GGGUUGGCUGCUCCUGAGCUGGUCUUGGGGACGCUGGGUGAACAAAUACAACCUACAUGGCCACGAGGACCUGGGCAGGUGUGUCCAGAGGUCUUCACUGUACCCCGCGGCCACAAAGCCACUGCCUGCUCGUGCUCACAGACGCACUGAAGACUGGAUGGCAUGCAGGAAGCCCCAGGCGAAUGAAAACUGAGAAUGACAAGGACACAGCCAGUGACAGUGGUUCCAGUGAGCAUCCAUGAGGUCCACAUUUCUACCGUCCUCUCCCCAGGUGCCUCCGCCCACUCACGGGUUGGGGAUCCAGAAGGAGACCCAGGACCUUGAAACCACCCUACAUUGUCAGCAAUUUUUAACUUUUUUCUUUCUGAUUUUUUUUAACUUUCCUAUUUUAAUGUUUUGAGACAGUGUUUCUUUAAAUCACCUGGGCUGGGCUUGAAUUCAAUCCUCCUGACUUAGCCUCCCUAACUGCAGGAAUUUGCAGGUGUGCACCACUGUAGAGAGGCCACACUGACUCCAUUUUGUCCCAGACACAUCCAGUCGACAAUGUUAUGGGAAAAGUGCAGGUCUUGAAACAUCACCCCCAUCCCAAGGCAUGUGGUCCUGUAAGGACAAGAAGCCAACAAGUUAUAUAACCUAACCAUGUGCAAUUUGAGUUUCUUUAUUCUUUAUCUCAAUAAAAGCUACUUCUUUAGGCUGGCUGGGCAGUAGCGGUUUUGCUGAUCCUUUGUGUGUGUGACCCUUUAUUUUCCCUUUGCUUGCAGAACCUCAACAUACCACACCUAGAAACACAAGAUUUCUUGACUAUUUUGGUUUUUGGAAGCAGGGUCUUACUAUUUAGUUCAGACUGACUUCAAACUCUUGGCAGUCCUGCCUCAGCCUCCCGAGUUUUGGGAUUAGCAGGUGUGUGACAUCAUCCAGCUAGUGGGUCCACUCAAUAGUUCUGGGAGUCACUGGGAUGAAGAGGCAGCAAAACUAGGGUACCUUAUCCAUAAUAGUCCCUAUUGGGAGUCAUUUUAGAUUGAUGGGAGAAAUGCUUUUGUUCCUUCCCAAGAUCCAGCUGCCACUACCACCCCACGGAAGGGUCACUGCUGUCCAGGCAGAUGGAGAGUGGGCCAGGCAGGAUGAGCAGGGAAUGGACAGGAAUUGAAACUCCCCUGUAACUGGAGGAAGAGUACAGGAUUAGGGUACCUAUAAUGCUGCAGUUGCCAUGCCAGCUGAUGGACAGUGGCUUGUUCUGUCCACUGUCCUGGGAUGCUGUCAGCACAGGUCCUGGAGGCAGCCAGCAUGACAGAAGGGCCAAACACCACAGGGACUAAUGAGGCAUAGCGGAAGCACCGUGGGCCUGGAGCCCAGAGGCUGAUUGGCAGAGACUGACCUCUGCUGGACACUGUCUGGCUCCCACCUGAAGGUGUCCCCUCCCUGGUGUGGUUCUGAUACCAGGUCAAUGAUCUCAAGGAGCAAAGCACUUAUUGGUGGCUGGUCCACAGUGUAGUGGUAGUACUCUGGACUCUGAACUCAGUGGCCUGAGUUCAAAUCUUGGUGGGGCCUUUGUGGUUGUCUUACCUCCUCCCCACCCACGUACUCCCAUUUGGUCCCCAGCCUUCAUUGUAAUUCCGAGACAAGAGUCUUGCUAAGUAGCUAAAACUGCUUGGGCUGGGAUUACAGGCCUUUGCCACCUACUGACCUGAUACUUCACAAAAGCCCUUGCCCAUUUUUGGGCCAAGUAUGAUUUGCUUUUUAGGCUAAGAGUAAGAUUUUGGCCCCUGUGCACGCUCUUGUUUCAAAACACAUGCUCACACUCUGAGUUCGGUGUCCCUGCUGGCCAUGGUGGUGCACACCUGGAACCCAGCACUUGGGAGGCUGAGGCAGGAGGUUCACUGCAAGUUCAACGGCAGCCUGGGCUACACAGUGAGUUUAGGGCCAGCCUGAUGACACAGGAAGACCUGGUCUCAAAGCACCACCAAACAAACAGUCU